Molecule: long non-coding RNA, 1514 nt
Organism: Brassica rapa (field mustard)
Lineage: Eukaryota; Viridiplantae; Streptophyta; Magnoliopsida; Brassicales; Brassicaceae
Source: RefSeq, a predicted model, not a curated record
ACAUUACAAAUUAAAGUUACUUUACAUAAAUUUACAAUCCUAUGUUUUUGUCAACUUUUACAAAUCAUAUCUAGUAAAUAUAUUUUUUUUUAAAUAAUAGUUUAUACAUUUUUAAAUUGGGAAAAUGUACUACAAUAUAGCAAUAUAUUAUCUAUCUAUAAAUCCAAUGGGCCGUUAACAUUUAAAUUCAAUGAUCCUAAACACAAUAUUGAUUGUAAUGUAAUCUUAUACGAAUAGCUUUGAUUGAUAUAUAUACCUUUAGAAUAUCCAAUUAGUAAACCCUCACGUCAUAUUUAAUGAUUUGUGAAUAUACCUUUGAAAAUAUAUACGAUUACGGAAUAUUUUCAAAAAUAAAUAUUGCAUGGAUUAGUUAUGGUCGAUGAGACCUUUAUGGAAAUACAUAAUAAAUUAUAUGAAUAUUAUGGAAUAUAGGUAAUAUUUUCAGGCCUGAAUAUUGUUGAGAUUUAUAUUGUAACUGAAUGGUGGUUUUGAAUAUCUAUGGUAAGUAUGGUAAGUAUUGUUGAUCACUUGAGGUCGGGUUAAGUACGAUGUGUGAUGUUGUUUAUCAACUGUGUAAAACGAACAGGUUGAAUAGUCAAUCAAAUUAUAUAUUAGUAUUGUUUGACAAAACCGGUUGAAUCCGAUUUUAUUUGUUUAUUUACUGUAUAACGCGAACCGGUAAAAAAAUUGAAUUUUAUUAACAAAAAUUUAGAUUCGAUAUAGGAAUACUUUUGAAAAUAGAUAUACCAAGGUCGUAUGUAAUUAAUUGAUGAUGCCAAUAUAUGUUGGUUACACAAACCGAUAUUAUAGGCGUAUAUAUGAGGUGAUAUAGUAAGUCACAAAGCAUUAAUAAAAAUGGAGGGUCCAUUUUAAAAAAAAAUCACACAUGAAAAUAAGUCAUGAUUUCUGUUUUAAUAUAAUAGAUAGAUAUGCAAAUAUACUUCUUUAGUCAACUCCAUAAAUGUGUAUAUACUUCUAUUUCCAAAAAUAAAAGAAUAUUAGCAAAAGUGGAAGAUUUUAUGACUGUAAACUACAUGUGGAAUUCGAAAACUGAGACUUUCGUUGAUAAAAGAGUUCUAUAAAUACAAUUCUUCAUGGAUGACUAGUAAAUACUACAGAACAAAUUUUCUUCUUAGUACAACUAAUAUUAUAACAAUACAAAAUGGGUAUCACUAGAAUUUUUCUAACUACUUCUCUUCUAAUAGUAUUCGCAAUUUCGAUUCCUUACAACGUUUCGGCAGUGUCGGGGAUCGAGCCAGCAAAAAAAACUACUCUUUGUUUUCACCAAUGUGGUGGAAUAUAUGAUGAUCAUGCAUGCUUCACUGACUGCAUACAUAAAAAAUACGAUCAUGGAUUAUGUAUGAAUAAUCAAUGCUGUUGCUUCAAUGAUAAUUGAACGUAACUCUCGAUAUUUGGCGAAUUGAAUUUGGUAUUUUAAGUAUUAUGAAAAAAUCGUUGUUGCUUUUCAUUGUUUUCAACUUCUUGAAAAUGAAAUAAAAUUAUGAUUUAUUUUA